This is a long non-coding RNA of Spinacia oleracea (spinach), 2240 nucleotides long. RefSeq lists it as uncharacterized. The record is from RefSeq and is a predicted model, not a curated record. NCBI's taxonomy places the organism in Eukaryota, Viridiplantae, Streptophyta, Magnoliopsida, Caryophyllales, Amaranthaceae. The transcript is spliced from 3 exons.
CACGUGAUGUUUGCUAAAUAGUUACAUGCCUACCUACUGCCCCAACUUCACUUUGUUUGGAAAAGAAGAACCUCCCACCGCCUCUCAUCUCCUUCUCAAAUAUCUCAGAUCUACUCUCCUCUGAUUGGAAUUAAUAUCUUGUUCGUCAUAUCAAUGGGUUUAACAUCUUCUACCUUCAAGGUCUUGUGAAAGGGUUUUGACAAGCUUUCAAGUUCUGUUUGAUGUCUAGCUAAUGAAAUUUUUUGGAAGAGACUUUGGUAAGAUUUUGAUAUUUGAAGCAGGUCAGUUUCUAUUGUUCUCAAGAUGGAUCUAUUGUAUGUAUAUCGUGUUCAAAUGUUUUUUCCCAUGGAGGAGGAAGAGGUACUUCUCUUUGUUCCUCUCUCGCUAAUCUAUUUGCUAGUCUCGUGUAGUUGUAGUUGUAGUUGUAAGGAUGACUAUAAACCCUGUUUGUUUAUCUUUCCUUGUAAUUCUAUAUUAGAAAAUAUACCCUAUUUCUUUUUCUUAUUUUUGUUCUGAUUACUGAUUUUAGUCUCUUUGAUGAUAACUAACUACCAUUAAUUUUUGAUAUUAGAUUGAAAAUGAAAGGAUAUGUGGUUAUUCAAAGACACGAGGCACAAAUUUCACCAGUACUCGUCAACCCACUCUUUUUAAAAUCAGGCCAGUUCACUGUCUGAUACUACCUUUCUUGAAAAGUUAUCUCUUUCUCUAUUAACAAUAUAUGUCUAUCACAAUUCAAUUUUUCAGUCCUAUCUUUUCAGUUCUUAUUUUUCCAUUUGUUUUCCUAGUUUUGAUCUGGUUUUCACUCUUUCACUUUUUUAAAGUACACAUCCUGUUACUGAGACUUACAUUAUGAAUUGUCAGAUUUGUCACUUCUUUACGCUCUUGUUCUGUCCGCAUGUGAUCUUGAACUUACAUGUUUGGUGAUAUCAUGUUUUGUAUUCAUAUAUUAAUAUAUGAUGGUUAUUUUUUGCUUUUUACUUGUUGUUUCUGGGUUAGAACAUAAUCUCACAGCGGUGUAGUAUUUGGUUAUUAUAUUUGUUAUCAUAUUUUUCUGAAUAGGUUACACUCUGCUGAAGUUUGUUGGGACAAUUGAAAAUAAACUCAAGAAAUAAUCUAAUGAACAAACUAGAAAUGAUGAAGAUAUGUAUGCUUUGGAAUAUAAGGUAUGGUAUGUUCAAUAAUAAGGAUUUCGAUAUAUAGGUCAUAUCAUCUUGCAUAGUUAUUUAUUAACUUCUGUAGUUUUUCUGUAAUUUAUUAACACUUGCUAUUUCCCGCUGGAUAAAUGAGAAUGGCGAAACCAAAUUUAGUUAGUUAACCUUGCAGCUCCCUUGCUCUUAAAUUAAUCUACAUGUUCUACAUGCAAUUUGAGUAUUAUUUAGCCAAACCGGUAGAGUACCGUUGGUUGAAUUUUUUUCAGAAUAUCAGGGGUACGUAGUAGAAGAGUGUACCUUACUACCUUGUAUGAAAUGCUACUCUCAAGUCUUAGAUGACAGAAAUAUCACCUUGCCUAAUACAGAACACUGUAGUGGUGUGAAUAACAAAAGAAAUGUAGUAGGCUCCACAAUAGGUCCUUAUAAGUCGCAAUUUUUAAGAGCUACUUCCAACAAUUUAUGAAAACGAUAUCUGAUAGUUUCCUCGUGGUUUCGGGUUUCGUUAGUCCUUGAUAUGCCAUGGAGAUAUAUGCAGUUUGAUUAUGCUUAUGUAAGAUACUACAAUCAAUUUAAAUAUGCUUCUGUAGUUAUGCAUACAACUAUCAUGGAGUUUGUAUCAACCCUCAUCUUUUAUUAGAGUUGGCAUUCAUUGUUCCAUGGUCGUUUUGGUUGAUUUCCUAUGACAAAUGAUUUAAUUUCUGACUCAUCCUUAUUUUAUUUUGUUCUCUUCUUUGAAGACCGUCCAAUGUGAUACGGAGCAACAUGAGAUGAAGGCCAGGACACUUGAGCUUAUAAGCUACUACCACCAUUAGAUCCUAGUUCUUAUAGGCUUUAGUUCUUCGGUUAAGUAGAUACAAUUGUAUUUUUUUAUUAUGUUUUGGACUAUUUAGUUAUUAACAUUUAUGUAUUAUGGAAUUUGGUUAGAAACAUUAUCAUGGACUAUGGAUAUAUUAUGGUUAAUUAGUAGCAUUACCAUGUACUAUGGAUUUAAAGUACUACGUACUCCUAGAAUUUUAUAAUUUAUUGUUAAUGUUACAUUGAUCUUGUUGCUUUAAUUGUAUGAUGAAUAAAGUUCAUUUUAAAUAUUAA